UGAUGGCGGCUGUGCGCAGGGCACCUUCGGGUGCGCCGGCUUUGUAAGUCCACCGGUCUACUAACCUGCGUACAGCUGCCACCC
Molecule: non-coding RNA, 84 nt
Filed under: Pseudomonas extremaustralis
Lineage: Bacteria; Pseudomonadati; Pseudomonadota; Gammaproteobacteria; Pseudomonadales; Pseudomonadaceae
Source: RNAcentral